UACGGAGGGUGCAAGCGUUGCUCGGAAUUAUUGGGCGUAAAGGGUAGGUAGGUGGUCUCGUUUGUCUAGGGUGAAAGCCUUGAGCUUAACUCAAGAAGUGCCCUAGAAACGGCGAGACUAGAGUUCUGGAGAGGGUCGUGGAAUUCCCGGUGUAGUGGUGGAAUGCGUAGAUAUCGGGAGGAACACCAGUGGCGAAGGCGGUUGCCUGGAGCUUUGCUGACGCUGAGGCGCGAAAGCGUGGGGAGCGAUCCGG
RNAcentral lists this ribosomal RNA (253 nucleotides) under uncultured bacterium. RNAcentral describes it as "partial 16S ribosomal RNA". It matches the Rfam family "Bacterial small subunit ribosomal RNA", at positions 524 to 776 of the family's 1533-position model. The record is from RNAcentral.